This is a long non-coding RNA of Haplochromis burtoni (Burton's mouthbrooder), 1519 nucleotides long. RefSeq lists it as uncharacterized. NCBI's taxonomy places the organism in Eukaryota, Metazoa, Chordata, Actinopteri, Cichliformes, Cichlidae. The transcript is spliced from 2 exons. The record is from RefSeq and is a predicted model, not a curated record.
AGGAUAUUGAGGCAAAGCUUGGAGCUGACGUCACUCUUCAGUGUCAGAUUUCCACAGAUGAAAUAAUCUCAGUGCUGAAGUGGAGCAGAGCUGACCUGAACACAGACGGCUACGUCUACUUCUACAGGAACAAACGAUUCUAUGAAAACUACCAACAUCCAUCUUUUCAUGGCCGAGUGAAGCUGAGGCACCCGGAGAUGAAGGAUGGAGACGUGUCUGUGAUCCUGAAGAAGGUCACAUUUAAUGACACUGGGAUGUAUGAGUGUCACGUAGCUGUGAGGAACCCUGUGAGCAGUAAAAGAGCUCACACUGAGAUCAGUCUCUUCAUCAACCUCACAGUCACAGGUGAAACGGAUAAAACCUUGUUGGAACAGCAGCUGAAGGGAAAAGGAGCUACAGACGGAAACAUGUAUGAUAGAAAAGCAGAAACUCUGAGUAUUCAGAUUGUUGUUGUUGUUGUUCUCAUCGCUGCUGUCAUUGGGUUUAUGGUAUUUCUGAGAUUUAAAAGAAGUAAGGAGCAGUUUCCAGCCAAGCCUAGUGAUAAGAGGGAGGAAAUGGCCUGAAAUGCUAGUUUCUUUACGAUGCAAUAAAGAGCACCUCAAGAUGAUUUCAUGUUAUUUCUGAAUGUACAUCAAGUAUUUACAUGCUGUGUAUGACCCUAUUGGAUUAUCUCAAAGUUCCCACCUGAACCCCUUUGAGAAUCUUUUAGAUGUGCUGACAGCUGUAAGUCAAGCUAAAUGUUUCACUUGCAUAUGCAAAGUGAAGCAACGAACUGUUAACAGCAGCUAACAGCUUGGUUGUUAAGGAGAUAAACAUGGUCCCUACAAGAAUUGGCACCCUGAUGUAGUGCAUUCUGGGUAGCAUUCAGAGGGUCAUAUGGAUAAGUUGCGAUAAGUUGCUGCUCAAAACAAAGGUCUUGUAUUAAUACCAGAAUCAACUGUUAAAUAUAGAAACAGCACUGGUGUUCACAUUCAGUUCCCUUUUAUUUAUAUAGUCACAUUUCACAGUAGGUUUGACUUCAAGGUGCUUUAUGCUGUCAGGUUAAUACCCUACAAUAGCAAAAGCUCCAACAAUCAAGCUGUGAACAAGCACUUGGGUAGACUCUUUAUAUUCAACCAUCAAACAAAAGAAGCUUCAGUGACACUGAAAUUACACGUAACUUAAACUCUGCUGAUAAUAACUUCUGUUCAGUGGUAAAUGGACUGAACAGAAAAGGGGGAGCUUUAAAAUCAUACUGUGAUUAUUUUCGGAGUUCCAGAGAGUUUCAGAGCUCAGAGUACACAUGACACUUGGUGCCUUUUAAUUCGCCUUAUCUCUGACGCAUUUUUUAGCCCGAUUAACUCGAUUAGUAAAACACAUAUGAAAACAUGAAAUUUUCAGGGCUUCAAAACACAAUUAAGCUUUGUCUCAUUCAAUCUAAAUGUCAGAAUCUGAAGGCAGUGAAGUGUUUAAUAAAGACAUCACAGAUGUUAUCCUCCACAUCUUCUCAGCUCUUGAUAUUUCUCCAGUUCUCGUGUUC